Molecule: ribosomal RNA, 494 nt
Filed under: uncultured bacterium
Lineage: Bacteria
Description: partial 16S ribosomal RNA
Rfam family: Bacterial small subunit ribosomal RNA
Source: RNAcentral
GACGAACGCUGGCGGCGUGCUUAACACAUGCAAGUCGAACGGUGAAGCGCCUUCCUUUUUGGUGGGUGUGGAUGAGUGGCGCACGGGUGAGUAACACGUGAGUAACCUGCCCCCUUCUUCUGGAUAACCGCUUGAAAGUGUGGCUAAUACGGGCUAUUCUGGGUCUGUCGCAUGAUGGGUCUGGGAAAGAUAUUGUUUCGGUGGGGGAUGGGCUCGCGGCCUAUCAGCUUGUUGGUGGGGUGAUGGCCUACCAAGGCGGUGACGGGUAGCCGGCCUGAGAGGGUGGACGGUCACACUGGGACUGAGACACGGCCCAGACUCAUACGGGAGGCAGCAGUGGGGAAUAUGGCACAGUGGGCGCAAGCCUGAUGCAGCGACGCCGCGUGAGGGAUGGAGGCCUGCGGGUUGUGAACCUCUUUCGCCAGUGAAGCAGGCCUGCCUCGUUUGUGGGUGGGUUGACGGUAGCUGGAUAAGAAGCGCCGGCUAACUACGUG